GUCGAGCGGUAGCACGGGGGAGCUUGCUCCCCGGGUGACGAGCGGCGGACGGGUGAGUAAUGUCUGGGAAACUGCCUGAUGGAGGGGGAUAACUACUGGAAACGGUAGCUAAUACCGCAUAACGUCGCAAGACCAAAGAGGGGGACCUUCGGGCCUCUUGCCAUCAGAUGUGCCCAGAUGGGAUUAGCUAGUAGGUGGGGUAAUGGCUCACCUAGGCGACGAUCCCUAGCUGGUCUGAGAGGAUGACCAGCCACACUGGAACUGAGACACGGUCCAGACUCCUACGGGAGGCAGCAGUGGGGAAUAUUGCACAAUGGGCGCAAGCCUGAUGCAGCCAUGCCGCGUGUGUGAAGAAGGCCUUCGGGUUGUAAAGCACUUUCAGCGAGGAGGAAGGUGGUGAACUUAAUACGUUCAUCAAUUGACGUUACUCGCAGAAGAAGCACCGGCUAACUCCGUGCCAGCAGCCGCGGUAAUACGGAGGGUGCAAGCGUUAAUCGGAAUUACUGGGCGUAAAGCGCACGCAGGCGGUUUGUUAAGUCAGAUGUGAAAUCCCCGGGCUCAACCUGGGAACUGCACUUGAAACUGGCAAGCUAGAGUCUCGUAGAGGGGGGUAGAAUUCCAGGUGUAGCGGUGAAAUGCGUAGAGAUCUGGAGGAAUACCGGUGGCGAAGGCGGCCCCCUGGACGAAGACUGACGCUCAGGUGCGAAAGCGUGGGGAGC
RNAcentral lists this ribosomal RNA (719 nucleotides) under uncultured Enterobacterales bacterium. RNAcentral describes it as "bacterial SSU rRNA". It matches the Rfam family "Bacterial small subunit ribosomal RNA", at positions 61 to 769 of the family's 1533-position model. The record is from RNAcentral. Lineage: Bacteria; Pseudomonadati; Pseudomonadota; Gammaproteobacteria; Enterobacterales.